RNAcentral lists this ribosomal RNA (562 nucleotides) under Listeria monocytogenes. RNAcentral describes it as "bacterial SSU rRNA". It matches the Rfam family "Bacterial small subunit ribosomal RNA", at positions 225 to 779 of the family's 1533-position model. Lineage: Bacteria; Bacillati; Bacillota; Bacilli; Caryophanales; Listeriaceae. The record is from RNAcentral.
AUGGGCCCGCGGUGCAUUAGCUAGUUGGUAGGGUAAUGGCCUACCAAGGCAACGAUGCAUAGCCGACCUGAGAGGGUGAUCGGCCACACUGGGACUGAGACACGGCCCAGACUCCUACGGGAGGCAGCAGUAGGGAAUCUUCCGCAAUGGACGAAAGUCUGACGGAGCAACGCCGCGUGUAUGAAGAAGGUUUUCGGAUCGUAAAGUACUGUUGUUAGAGAAGAACAAGGAUAAGAGUAACUGCUUGUCCCUUGACGGUAUCUAACCAGAAAGCCACGGCUAACUACGUGCCAGCAGCCGCGGUAAUACGUAGGUGGCAAGCGUUGUCCGGAUUUAUUGGGCGUAAAGCGCGCGCAGGCGGUCUUUUAAGUCUGAUGUGAAAGCCCCCGGCUUAACCGGGGAGGGUCAUUGGAAACUGGAAGACUGGAGUGCAGAAGAGGAGAGUGGAAUUCCACGUGUAGCGGUGAAAUGCGUAGAUAUGUGGAGGAACACCAGUGGCGAAGGCGACUCUCUGGUCUGUAACUGACGCUGAGGCGCGAAAGCGUGGGGAGCAAACAGGAUU